CAAGAAGCUAUGACUACGUCCC
Molecule: non-coding RNA, 22 nt
Filed under: Arabidopsis thaliana (thale cress)
Lineage: Eukaryota; Viridiplantae; Streptophyta; Magnoliopsida; Brassicales; Brassicaceae
Source: RNAcentral